AGGGUUUGAUUAUGGCUCAGGAUGAACGCUGGCGGCACGCUUAACACAUGCAAGUCGAGCGGAGAUGUGAGUUGGAAGGGCUACGGCCUGGAAGAAGCAGAUCUUAGCGGCGGACGGGUGAGGAACGCGUGGGUAACCUGCCCUAUACAGGGGGAUAACGUGUAGAAAUGCACGCUAAAACCGCAUAAGCUACAUUGGUCGCAUGACGAAGGUGGAAAAACUGAGGUGGUAUAGGAUGGGCCCGCGUCUGAUUAGCUAGUUGGAGAGGUAAAGGCUCACCAAGGCGACGAUCAGUAGCCGGUCUGAGAGGAUGGACGGCCACAUUGGGACUGAGACACGGCCCAA
This 345-nucleotide ribosomal RNA is filed under the name uncultured bacterium. Its description in RNAcentral is "bacterial SSU rRNA". It matches the Rfam family "Bacterial small subunit ribosomal RNA", at positions 8 to 334 of the family's 1533-position model. The record is from RNAcentral.